AGAACGAACGCUGGCGGCAUGCCUAAUACAUGCAAGUCGAACGAACUCUUCGGAGUUAGUGGCGCACGGGUGCGUAACGCGUGGGAAUCUGCCCCUUGGUUCGGAAUAACAGUUGGAAACGACUGCUAAUACCGGAUGAUGACGAAAGUCCAAAGAUUUAUCGCCAAGGGAUGAGCCCGCGUAGGAUUAGCUAGUUGGUGAAGGUAAAGGCUACACAAGGCGACGACUCCUAGCUGGUCUGAGAGGAUGAUCACGCCACACGUGGGACUAGACGACCGCCGGACCAAGUACCGU
This 294-nucleotide ribosomal RNA is filed under the name uncultured soil bacterium. RNAcentral describes it as "partial 16S ribosomal RNA". It matches the Rfam family "Bacterial small subunit ribosomal RNA", at positions 26 to 345 of the family's 1533-position model. The record is from RNAcentral.